AUCAUUAAAGAGACGUUGCCCUUCGGGGUAUACCUCCCACCCUUUGUUUACUAUACCUUUGUUGCUUUGGCGGGCCCGUCCUCGGACCACCGGCUUCGGCUGGUCAGCGCCCGCCAGAGGACCUAAAACUCUGUUUGUUCAUAUUGUCUGAGUACUAUAUAAUAGUUAAAACUUUCAACAACGGAUCUCUUGGUUCUGGCAUCGAUGAAGAACGCAGCGAAAUGCGAUAAGUAAUGUGAAUUGCAGAAUUCAGUGAAUCAUCGAAUCUUUGAACGCAAAUUGCACUCUUUGGUAUUCCGAAGAGUAUGCUUGAUUGAGGGUUGUUCCAAUAAAUUCGUUUUUUUUUUUUAAAAAAAAACGGAUCUGAGUUUUCCAAGGUUUUUAGGAUUUUGGUAACUUUAAAUUUAUCUUAACGAUAUCUUUGGUAUGAUAUUGGAAAUGGUUAUAUUCUUACUACCUGUGAGUUUCAUUAACAAUCGAUUACCUGUCGUUACGUCGUAUCAUUGGUCCAAUCCUUUUAAUUGGGUCACAUGAUACAAAUUUUCUUUCAACACCUCAAGUCAAGUAAGAAUACCCGCUGAACUUAAGCAUAUCAUAA
RNAcentral lists this ribosomal RNA (598 nucleotides) under uncultured Glomus. RNAcentral's name for it is "partial 18S ribosomal RNA". The stretch from base 170 to 323 matches the Rfam family "5.8S ribosomal RNA". Lineage: Eukaryota; Fungi; Glomeromycota; Glomeromycetes; Glomerales; Glomeraceae. The record is from RNAcentral.